CUCCUACGGGAGGCAGCAGUGGGGAAUCGUUGCACAAUGGACGAAAGUCUGAUGCAGCAACGCCGCGUGGGGGAUGGAAGCUUUUCGGAGUUGUAAACCCCUUUCGACCCGGAAGAAAGCCCGCAACGGGUUUGACGGGUUACGGGUAUAAGGAAGCCCCGGCUAACCUACGUGCCAGCAGCCGCGGUAAUAC
This 193-nucleotide ribosomal RNA is filed under the name uncultured bacterium. Its description in RNAcentral is "partial 16S ribosomal RNA". It matches the Rfam family "Bacterial small subunit ribosomal RNA", at positions 336 to 526 of the family's 1533-position model. The record is from RNAcentral.